Molecule: long non-coding RNA, 292 nt
Organism: Lepisosteus oculatus (spotted gar)
Lineage: Eukaryota; Metazoa; Chordata; Actinopteri; Semionotiformes; Lepisosteidae
Source: RefSeq, a predicted model, not a curated record
UGCGUCUCUCCUCCCUCGGGAACUGUGAGGCUUCUCUGUUUGCAUUUGCGUUUGCGUUUUCAGAACAGAACGUGCCGCCCUCGACUACUGUAUCUGCGUGGAAGACGCAAUGGCCUCAGGGUCACGCGGAGCCCGUGUUCCACGCUGUUUCUCUGACACUUUACUGAAGCUAUUGCGCUACCUUUCGCUUAUCUACAGGCAAAAUGUUCUGGACAAAAAAAAGACAGUUGAGCUGUCCCUGAAAGCACUGCCCUUGAGAAUAUAAUCAGUUAUUAAAACAAGAUUAAUAAGA